RNAcentral lists this ribosomal RNA (745 nucleotides) under Megathrips lativentris. Its description in RNAcentral is "12S ribosomal RNA". The record is from RNAcentral. Lineage: Eukaryota; Metazoa; Arthropoda; Insecta; Thysanoptera; Phlaeothripidae.
UAAAGAUUUAGUAUUAUUCUUAGUUGUUAAAAUAAAUAAAAAUAUGCAUAUAAUUUAUUGUUUAAAAUUAAUGGUUUAGUAUAUAAGAUUUAAAAAUUAAUGAAAUUUAAUUUAAAUUUUUAAAAAUUUUCAAAAAUUUGUGCCAGAAGUUUCGGUUAUACAAAGAAUUUUUUAAUAAUAUUCGGUUAAAAUUUUAGUUAAAGAAUUUAUAAAUAAAAGUAUUUAAUUUAAAUAAAUUUUUGAUAAAAUAAAAAUUUUAUUAAAAUUACUUUAAAGUAUUGAAUCUAAAUAAAUUAUUAAUAAAACUAGGAUUAGAUACCCUAUUAUAUUAAUUAUAAUAAAAAAACCAAGCGAAAAGUAUAUAAUUACCUUAAGUUAAAAUAAAUGGCGGCUUAAUAAUUUUAUUAGGGAAUUUUGUUUAUUAAUGGAUAUUACCCAAAAUACCUUUCUUUAAUUUUAGUUUAUUUAUUUCCGAUAAUUUUUUUUUAUAUAAAAAUUUUUAAAUUAUUUUUAAUAAAUCAGGUCUACAUGUAGCUUAUAUUAAAGUUUAAAUGAAAUACAAUUAUAUAAUUUUAAUAAAUUGAAAAUAAAUAUUAAAAUAUUUAAGGAAAUAGAACUUAAAAGUAAUAAUUAUUAAGAAUAAUUUUAUGAAUAUACACUAUUAUAUGCACAAAUCGCCCGUCACUCUUUUAAAUAAGAUAAGUCGAAACAUAGUAAGUGUAUUGGAAAAUGUACUUGGAUUAAU